GUUUCCCAAGCUUACAAGGAUCAGGAUUAUGCACACAGUGUUAGGGAAAUGAGUUUAUCAAGUCUAUUCUCGGUCUCUACUAUAUCAGUCCUUUUCAUCUCUUUACACAGUUCAAGCGCAGUCCCCAGUCUUGCAGAGCAAGAUGUUGGUUCCCAUGGCAACAGUCGGAACAGGAUCUACACCUCCGCAGCCAAUUUCCCUGGUGGGUCCACCCCUUCCUGUUCAAAAUGGGACUCAACCAGGAAGUAAGAUCAUUCAAAUUGCACCAAUGCCUGUGGUCCAAGCAAAUGUGCAUCCUGGAGGAUCAGUGCAUACCGGCAACUCGUUUCCUGUUUCUAUGCCAACGGCGACUGUCAUGGCCCCUGGGCCCUACCCUCCUCAGACGGUGCUCUUGACGCCACCACCUACAAGGAUCACAUAUGUCCAGUCAACUCCUGGAGUUGCAGCUCCUUUGCCAUUGGGUUCAACACCUGCAGUCUCUUCCACCCACCAGACCCCAUCAUCUGCGGGUCCAUCUUUUUUGCGAUCUCCAGUGGCGACCCUUGGCUUCACUGCAAUUGCCCCAGCCAGUCAGGCCUUGGUUCAACCUAUUGUUGCAAGUGAGUGUUAUAACUGAGAGUUCUUUCAACCAUCAACACAUAUUUAACACUGCAUGACAAACAUCAUCAAAUUUCUACCACAGGUCAGCCACCUCUCCUGGCUCAAUGCCCGCCCCCGAGUGGACUGGCACAACCUGCACAAGCCUCGACGGCCACCCGUCAACUUGUGACCGCCAUUUACCCCAGCGUCAGUUUAGCCGGAGGAGUUGUGUCAGUGACAGCCCUGCCACAAAGCACAGCAAGUUCCACAUCAGUUCCAGCAUCAUCCUCAUCGCCUCAAGAGAAGACCCCCUCAGCCGCAGCUGCGCAACCACACGCGCAGCUGCAGUCUCAGGUAAACAUGCACAUGGAAAACGAGAGAGGACCAGAAUCUAGGAAGGAGAUGGAGAAACAGAGAGACCUGGUGGUGUCAAAGGAUGGACAUCAAACGCCACCUAGCGGUUUGGAGGAAUCGGUGCAGCACACACAUAAAGGUAAAUGUAACCUCAUUCAUUUCAGUUAUUAAUUUGGCUUUAAGUUAAGGUGUGUCC
Molecule: long non-coding RNA, 1129 nt
Filed under: Sinocyclocheilus grahami
Lineage: Eukaryota; Metazoa; Chordata; Actinopteri; Cypriniformes; Cyprinidae
Description: lncRNA (ENSSGRG00000011753.1)
Source: RNAcentral